This 253-nucleotide ribosomal RNA is filed under the name uncultured bacterium. RNAcentral's name for it is "partial 16S ribosomal RNA". It matches the Rfam family "Bacterial small subunit ribosomal RNA", at positions 524 to 776 of the family's 1533-position model. The record is from RNAcentral.
UACAGAGGAGCCAAGCGUUGUCCGGAUUGACUGGGCGUAAAGAGCUCGUAGGUGGUUUGUCGCGUUGUCCGUGAAAACUCACAGCUCAACUGUGGGCGUGCGGGCGAUACGGGCAGACUGGAGUACUGCAGGGGAGACUGGAAUUCCUGGUGUAGCGGUGGAAUGCGCAGAUAUCAGGAGGAACACCGGUGGCGAAGGCGGGUCUCUGGGCAGUAACUGACGCUGAGGAGCGAAAGCGUGGGGAGCGAACAGG